Lolium rigidum is the source of this 3903-nucleotide long non-coding RNA. RefSeq lists it as uncharacterized. The transcript has 6 exons. The record is from RefSeq and is a predicted model, not a curated record. NCBI's taxonomy places the organism in Eukaryota, Viridiplantae, Streptophyta, Magnoliopsida, Poales, Poaceae.
UUGGUGCUCUGUAAGAAUUUUGGGAGAGUUCUUUUCUUUCUUACUACAUUGCUGUCGGGCUGUUCUGGUGAUCCGAUCGUGUAGACAUUGCCAAUCGUGACCCUGUAUUCUCUGAUCGUGGUGGGUCCAGUCUGAAUCGUGUAUGCCUCCACGGUCGACAACUAGGUCAAAGCGGUGGCACGAUAACCCAUGUCCCAUCUCCCCUGCUUCCUCUCUUCUUCCUCCGUGCGUGUGGGCGUCGUCUUCCCCGGAGAGAACCGGGGCGUAUCCCCGUCGAGCCCUCCUCCCUCGGCUACCUUCCCUCCCCUGCCACCUCCGGUGCCUCUUGGCUCUUGCCCCUAUUUCUCUCUUUCUUUUCCUCAUUGGCUGCCGCUCCUCCUGACUGCUGAGUCCCAAGUACAGACAUCGUCUGGCCAAUCUCGAUCCCCUCCCCACGUGAAGCAUCUAUCCCUCCUCCCGGACGACGGCCAGGUGAACCGUCACAUCGAGGCCGUCAAGUAUGGCCUGGACUGUGAGCCGCGGUGGAAGCGAGCAGCCGGAUGGCGGACCAUGACGGACUCCUUACGGCUUGGCGUUCUCGACGGGCCUCCUAGACGACUGCGGUAUCGCGAUCUUCGCUCUAUCUUCCGCUCGGCCAACCGAUGUGCCUCCGGAUCAAGCCGGAAAGGGCGCCGCCUGUAGGAGUGGUGCAUGGGGUUGAGGGGUUGCCGGAGGCGGUUGACUUGGAGGGAGAAAGGAGCAAUGGUUUGUGGCUUAGGUCGUGCCAAACAGGGCAGGAGGCAACGAGGGAGCCAGCCGCGUCGCCCUGCACUGUAAGAUAUUUCCCCGUGACCUCUAAGGCUCUAACUCAAUUAGAUUUUGUCAGAAGCGGCUGCAGUCCAGCAUGAGCUUGGGGUCAACAAGCAGGGUCUUGGGAGCGGUCCAGAGAGGAUUGAGAAAUGUGGAAAUAGGAGGCUAUUCAUGUAAGAGAACAAUAUACAUGGAAGGUCUAAUUGGAGGCAGUUACAAAAUUGCAACCACAAUUGCAAGAGGAAAUUAAGGUAUGUUCUUCCUUGCUAGAUAAAUGUUUGUCUUUGCAUUUAAUUAAGAAGGUGAUUCGUUAAAGUUGCUUUCUCGAAUUCAGAAGGUAAGAUGAAGAGAGGGUCAGUUUUAACACUCUUCAUAGUAUUCUGCAUAGAGGUAAUUUUGUUUCAUGUGAACUGCUGGAAUUCAACCGAUGGACUAUUAGCAAACUUCUGAAACUGGCUGGCCUCCAACAAACUUUUACUUCUACAUCCUGCAUAAUGGACUGGAUCUCAAGAAAUGGAGGUGUAUGCCUUCUUCCUGCAGGUAUUUCUUUAUCUCUGCAUAGAUUUUAUGUGCAGUAGUUUUUAUACAAAUGUUCAGAGGCGACAAAAAUAUAGAGGGCUAUCCAUCUUUAGGAGAAAAGAACAUCUUUUUGAGGCAUAGAUGGAUUGAUUCUGUAUGCAUGUAUAUUUUACCGGGAUGUUCUUAUUCAUUGCAUCUCCAUCUCUUAAUUGAUGUGUUGACUAACGACCUGCCGGCCCGUGAUACAAAGUUUGUCAUUAAUGAUUGUAAGAAUAUUGGGUAAUUUAAUAUAGUGGUUCAUGUAAAGAUCGCCUACGUGUUGAAGUCAACUCUUCAUUUUGGUGUAUCCUUUGUUUUAGACAGAAAAUAAUAAUGCCGAAAAAGAUUCAGAUUAAUGUGCAAGUAGUAGCAGGUUGAGACGAUAAAACAGGUGGAUGGAAUGGAUUUUUUGGUCGGACGAGGUGUCUCAAAUUCCUCCAUGUAGGACUGAAAUAUGUGGCUAAUAACAUAUGGGAAGGACCACCUGUAGAUUUGAGAGUGGAAGUUCAGGUGUGUCCUGACUCACAAGCGAAUUAAUUAACAAAUAGUAAUUUCUAGCAUGUGCCUCAAGCCAACGGAAAAUUUAGUUUUAUGUUUGCACUGUUUCUUCAUUAUUAGAAAAAAUAUACUUAUUUGAUUCUGCACCGCUUGCUUACAUGAAAUGAUUCCAUGGGAGCUUGACUAAUAGCUAGCUGAGCUUUUAUGAACUCUACGGAUGGACAAUCAUGAGGAGAUGGACUGGAGCCAUGAGGCCAUUCCACACACACAUCUGAAGCUGGAGUGUGUCAAGUCCUCUGCGUUGAAAAGCAGCAUGUCCCUGUGGAUGUCCCUUGUUGGACAACAAGAGGAUGUCAAAUGUGUCAACCCUGUAGCACAUAAUUCAUUUUUGGUGUCCCAUUUUACCUUAGGUGUGCAAUUUGAUCUGCUCAGUUUCCUGCAGAAAAUACCUUUGAUAUUUGGAUGAUUUAUGAGUGCCCAUCCAAGACACUGAGGUUCAAAUAGAUUUAGAUGGCCACAACGUUAAAUAGGUUCAGAAAGUGUGACACAAAUCGGAAUGCUGAAGUUCCAAAGAAAAGAUGCUUUCAGUAUGAAAGCCCCCUGGUGUCCUGAAGAUUCUGAUCAUGUUCAUUUUCGCAUCCUUGGUGUGUCACUGGUAUAUUAUAUUUUUUUAUAGACAAUAUGCACUAUCAUUUACCUGUGUUGAACAUGUAUUAGAGGUAUAAUUUCUUUCAAAGAUCAGUCAUGAAGGUAUGUUACUACUUCUGUUACAUACUUUUUACUGAAAAUAUGCAUUGCCAUUUAGCAGUGUUGAACAUGUAUUAGAGCAGAGUAGAGGUUAAUUUCACCGAAGUUUAAUGGUAGAUAUUUAUGUUUGUUAACAAAAAACUUGCAUCCCGCAUUAUAGGUGUAUUUUCUUAAUAUGAUUAAAAGAGAAGGGCAGGUACGACCAUCAAAUUAGUUUUCUUCAGAUCGACCAAAUUGGAUGGAUAUAUUAUGUGUGAAAUUUGGCUAUUUAGUGGUGGAUAGUUUAUCACCAUAGUCUGAUUCUCUUUUCAUAACUUGGCAAGCUGAAAACUAUUUUUUCUUUCAGACAAGCGUUAACUUAUGAGGUGAGCUACCUUCUAAGAAACAUAGCAUGGCCUUUCUAUCUGUCAUUUUGGGGAUGGUAGAUUUUUUUAAUGGUCAGUCUUUAAAUGUCAUAAUUUGCGCACAAAUCACUGGAGUAUCAUGCACCUCAAAUCCACACCAACCUAGAUUUCUAUCACUCUAUACUGAAUUAAUUUCGGUAUGAGCCACCCACAAGUCAAAUGGUAGGCUCUAUGUGGCUGUGAAGCCAUCCAUUCUUUCGAAGUGCCUGGUAAUUGUAGUCAACAUUAGGUGCUUUCCUACUGUGAGGCAACACAACUGAUAUUAUCAUUCUUGUUGUUGUGUCCGAAUUAAACUUUGAUAUCAUUGCAAGCUGUUCUAAUAUCCUCAUAGUUGCACAUGGCUUGCCAAUUUGUUCAGUGUGUUGGAUGAUUUAAUUUAAGACUAAUUAUCUUCAGUGACAACCGGUAGUACCUAGCCCUAUGAUGCAAAGAAUGUUGGACGAAACCUUACCUCCAUGACAAUGCAUAAAAUAGCCCUAAUUAGUGUCGGUGCCUAAAUACGGCGCAGAGCCAAGGGCCUUACAUGAUAUUAAUUGGCUUCCACAUCACCUCUUCACUGCAAUGGUGCUAACUCUAGCAAUGUUCUUGGCCACACCGGCUGUAACUUUUCCUGCAUACAGGCUUGAAGAUAUCUCCAGCUCUGUCAGAUUUCUUUUCGUGGGGAGAGAGCUCUACUGGUUGAGUAUUGGCAAUACACUCUGAAGUGGUGAUGGCAACCACCAAAGCUGUGCAGUUUCAGACAUUAUCACUAAGAGACUGCUAAGAAACACUACGUAAAUUGGCUUCCAUCUCCAUGAAUAUAUUCACAUAUCCGUUGAAAAUAACAUUAUGUACCAACUCUACAAACUACAAUGCAUGUCAAAUCAUGAAGUCGGAAUAGUUCCUAUAGAUUGCAAUGUUUUGUGUG